This is a small nuclear RNA of Octodon degus (degu), 162 nucleotides long. Its record names the gene U1. It matches the Rfam family "U1 spliceosomal RNA". From Rfam's summary of the family: U1 is a small nuclear RNA (snRNA) component of the spliceosome (involved in pre-mRNA splicing). Its 5' end forms complementary base pairs with the 5' splice junction, thus defining the 5' donor site of an intron. There are significant differences in sequence and secondary structure between metazoan and yeast U1 snRNAs, the latter being much longer (568 nucleotides as compared to 164 nucleotides in human). The record is from Ensembl. Lineage: Eukaryota; Metazoa; Chordata; Mammalia; Rodentia; Octodontidae.
AUAUCUACCUGGCAGGGAAGAUGCCAUCAUCACAAAAGUUGUUUUACCAGGGCGAGGCUUAUCCAUUGCCUUCCAGAUGUGCUGACCCCUGCGAUUUCCCCAAAUGUGGAAACCUCGACCGCAUAAUUUGUGGUGGUGGGGACUGCGUUCAUCCUUUCCUCU